AAGUGUUACAGCUUCUUUACAAUUUGUCUAGUAGGUUUCCAGUAACAACUGGAAAAUGCCACC
Molecule: small nuclear RNA, 63 nt
Organism: Otolemur garnettii (small-eared galago)
Lineage: Eukaryota; Metazoa; Chordata; Mammalia; Primates; Galagidae
Gene: U7
Rfam family: U7 small nuclear RNA
About the family: Animal histone pre-mRNAs are spliced by a different mechanism than nuclear pre-mRNAs and self-splicing introns. This processing involves the U7 snRNP, which contains only one RNA species: U7.
Source: Ensembl